RNAcentral lists this ribosomal RNA (253 nucleotides) under uncultured bacterium. RNAcentral describes it as "partial 16S ribosomal RNA". It matches the Rfam family "Bacterial small subunit ribosomal RNA", at positions 524 to 776 of the family's 1533-position model. The record is from RNAcentral.
UACGGAGGGUGCGAGCGUUAAUCGGAAUUACUGGGCGUAAAGCGCAUGCAGGUGGUUAGGUCAGUCAGAUGUGAAAGCCCGGGGCUCAACCUCGGAAUUGCAUUUGAUACUGCCUAACUAGAGUACUGUAGAGGGGGGUAGAAUUUCAGGUGUAGCGGUGAAAUGCGUAGAGAUCUGAAGGAAUACCGGUGGCGAAGGCGGCCCCCUGGACAGAUACUGACACUCAGAUGCGAAAGCGUGGGGAGCAAACGGG